UUUUAAAGGGGGGAAGAGCCAGAUGUUGUGGCGCAUGCCUGUAAUCCCAGCACUUGGGAGGCUGAGGCAAGAGGAUCGUUGCAAGUUCAAGGCCAGCCUGGGCUACAAAGUGAGUUCAAGACCAGCCUGAACUGCAUAGUGAGACCUUGUCUCAAAAAGGCAAAAAAAAAAAAAAAAAAAAAAAGAGGAAAGGAUAUUUAGCUCACAGUUUGUGGAGGUUUCCAUCCAUAAUGAGCUGGCUCCAAGGCAGGGCAGUGGAAGACAGCAAAAGCAACAAAGUGGUGGGAGCGGAGGGGCGUGGGAGGUCCUGUCAUUCUUAACAUAUUCAAGCUUUCUUCUAAAGCUAAUAAUAUAAGAUUCUUCCAAACUCUCUACCCUCAGGAUUCUGCCAAUCCCAUGCUUUAGAUCCCCAGCUCUCCCAGUAACCUGAGAGAUCCCUGAGGAAAAACCACAAAUUGCAUCCUCAGAAUCUUCAGGGUCAGAGGUUUGGGUCCUCUUCCAAAAGAGCAGUAGCUCUGAAAGCUACUGAGGCAGGAACUAGUCCAGAGAUUCAUGCUGUGGCCCAGCCUAGUCUGAAGUCCCUAAAGGAAGACUCAACCCUAGCAACAAGCAGAAGGAGACAAGAAAUAACAAACAGAGGCUAAACCAAAUAAUAAUACCCAGAGGGUUUUGGAGGAUGAGGGAAGUGGCAUUUGUGUUUCCCCAAACUCCCUUUGUCACAGAGCUACUUCCUGCUAACCUCAUACCAUCUCUUGACCUUCCUGACAAACUAAUCCCCAGUACACUACUUGUUCGCUCUAAAACCUUAGGUGGCUUUGCCAAGCCCCCCACCACAACAGCAUCCAUGGCCUCCCAUGAUCCAGACGAUUGUCUCCAACUUCAUCUCCCACUCACCUGUGCUAAGGUAGCCUUCCUUGUUCCUACCCAUGCUUCAGUGACAACUUUGAUGGGCAGUAUCUUUUCAACAAGAAGUAGCUGGGUUGGUAUCAUGAACCUGUACAGUCGGCUCCUCAUAAGGCAAAGGCAGGAGGAUCACUUGAGCCCAGGAGUUCAGCCUGGGCAGUAUAGCAAGAUUCCACUUCUUAAUAAAAUAAACAAGUGAUGAUGAUUGUGUAUGUGCUUUUCUGAGUAGAAAGCUGGCAUUCCCAGGGAAGGGUCUUUGUACUUAUACAGUAUGCCCUCACUCAGCCUGUGGUGGUUCUAGCACAGAGAAGAUUCUGCUCAAAGGCU
This 1230-nucleotide long non-coding RNA is filed under the name Chinchilla lanigera (long-tailed chinchilla). RNAcentral describes it as "lncRNA (ENSCLAG00000025957.1)". Lineage: Eukaryota; Metazoa; Chordata; Mammalia; Rodentia; Chinchillidae. The record is from RNAcentral.